GCUCCGGUGUACGAUGGAAUGCAGGUAGGGUUUUCACCCCUAUUGUUCGCGGGUUCAAUUCCCGUCCGGAGUGC
RNAcentral lists this transfer RNA (74 nucleotides) under Streptomyces phage TunaTartare. RNAcentral's name for it is "tRNA-Glu". It matches the Rfam family "tRNA". From Rfam's summary of the family: Transfer RNA (tRNA) molecules are approximately 80 nucleotides in length. Lineage: Duplodnaviria; Heunggongvirae; Uroviricota; Caudoviricetes; Stanwilliamsviridae. The record is from RNAcentral.